UAGGGCUCCCUCUAGUGGUGAACAGCGGUACUGCACAUGUGCGGUUUAUGCACCAGGUGUCAGUUGACCGUUAAUAUGCUAAUGAGGUGAUUCAUUCUCCGCCAAUCCCUGGAGGACAAGUAGUGGGGUGAUCCAUGCCCCACCAAUCCCUGAGAGAUAAUUAGCAUACUGUUGUCUAUAUAAGCCGAGCGAUUUUGCUGCUCGGGGUCCCUGUUCAAGAGAGCUGUAACACUGAGAAGAGCUGUAACACUAAGAAGAGCUGUAACACAGUAAAGGCUUGUUCGCAGAAGAAUCCUGUUGCCACGCGUCGUUCUUACUGGCGGGACAUUAGGCGCGCGACAAGUGGUGCUGAGACCCGGGAACCAACAUCGCCGGUACCGAGGGGACCCUUCAGUGUGCUGAAGAGGAUUCAGAACUGCGAGAAGGUAAAUUAAAAGGUAAGCUUCGAGAGGCAUGCCCCUUUUUGGAAGAGAGCAUGUCAGAAACGGAGCAGAGUGAGAAAUUAGGAGCGCGAAAAAAGAAAAAGGUUACUAAAACAAAAGUGAAAGAGAUACAAAAGGCGGAAGAAACGCUGCCAGAGGAAAAAAUAGGUAUGCCCCGGAGGACAAAGUACAAGUCAUCCGGAGAGGAUACUUUGUAUCCAUUAAAAGAAUUAGAAGCCUUAGAACUGGCUGGCAGUGACUCUGAGCAAGAGUUGUCAGAGUGGGAGGAGGAGGAAUUAGAGGAAGAGGCAGACAUAUAUGAGGAAGAAAGAUAUGGGCCUAGGUGGAGAGCCACUGUGAAGAAACCUAAAGUUAUGGAUCCUUUCUGGGCAAGGCUGGUAAUUUUGUUUCUUUUUUUCUUUGUGUGGGAUAGAGAAGCCACAGAUGGCAAGCUUAAGCCCAGACCAAAACCUCUUUGGCAAAUGGUCCCUGCCUGCUUAGAGGAUAAACGAUGUGAGGAAGCCCUUAGAGCUGUUAGAACAGGUCAGAGGGUCCUUGGAGAGCAACAAGAAAGUAUGUCAGAGGGAGAAAAGGUCUCGAAAGAAAAAAAAAAAGAAAAGGAGAUAAAAGGAACAGAGAGAAGGCAGAGAUAAAAAAUGAGGUCAGUGCAGCUUUUGUUGUGGCUCAAGUUGAGGCUAUUGCUAGGUAUGUGAUUAGGCUCUGGAAACCUCACAGAGUCAUACUGAUCAGAUUUGAUAGAGGUAGACCGCCUGAAAAUUUAUUCAGGAGAAUCAAACAAAAAGAUAAACUUGAGUGUGCCUACUUGGAUUCCUGAUCUCAAGGAGAUUUAGCAAGUGACAAGGUGCUUCUCUUAAAAAAGCAGUUUCAAUUGGCCCUUGGAGCCUUGCACCUAUAGCUAAGAUAUGUGUAGCCACUUCAAUUUUGUUUUCUGACUGGUUUUAAAUGUAUAAAUAUUCUCUACAUGCCUUGGUUAUGGACUAUUGGCUUUUAAGUUAUUGGAUAUGGUUUAAAAAAAUGUAACAUUGAUAACAGAAAGUUGACAUAAAACUGGUAAAUUUGGAUGGAGUCAUGAGCCAAUCUAGGGAAACAGGUCUAAAUUGGGAUGCCUUUGCUACAAUUUUUUACUGAACAUCCAGUGAUUUUUCCAAAGGUCACUGCCUCAGAGCCUUUGUCUGGAGCGUUAAAUAUUUAUACAGAUGGCUCCAAAACAGGUGUAGGUGCCUAUAUGGUUGAUUCUCAAGAACCAGUAUUAAUUCAAUACAGUCCAGGCACCCCCUAAAUUACAGAAUAUAAAAUUGUAUUGAAAGUUUUCAAAAGAUUUCAUGAUUAUUUUAAUUUAAUUUCUGACUCUGCUUAUGUAGUUAAUGCUGUGCGCUCACUUGAAAUUGCAGGGCCAAUUCGGUCGAGUAGUACCGUAUGUCAAAUUCUUUUAGAAUUACAAAAUUUGAUUUGGGCCAGAAAAAAUAAAAUUUUUAUACAACAUAUUCGAGCCCAUACUAAUUUGCCUGGUCCCAUGACCAGUAAUAACACCCUGGUGGAUGCUAGUACUAGUAGAGAGUUUAUUUUUCAUGCCACUCCGGUUGAUCUCGCUAGAGGAUUUCAUCAAAAGUUUCAUGUACCUGCCUUUACUCUUCAACAAAAUUUAAAAUCUCUAGAGCUGCAGCUCGUCAUGUGGUGCUAAGUUGCCAGAAUUGUGUUUCACCACCCUCCUCAUGUGGGGAUUAACCCUCGUGGUCUGAUCCCGCUGAAACUUUGGCAGAUGGAUUUCACACACAUAUCUCAAUUUGGAAAUUUAAAAUAUGCUCAUGUUUCUGUUGAUACCUGUUCCGGUAUUAUACACGCUACUCUGAUGACUGGUGAAAAGGCUUGUAAUGCCAUAAGUCAUUGCUUAGAGGCAUGGGCAGCCUGGGGAAAGCCUGAUAGUCUCAAGAAAGACAAUGGGCCUGCCUACACUGCAAAGUUCUUUCAGGCAUUUUGCCAGACAAUACAGGUCGGUCAUACUACAGGCUUACCAUACAAUCCCCAAGGUCAAGGAAUUGUGGAAAGAGUACAUCGUACCUUAAAAGAGCUUAUACAAAAACAAAAAGAGGGAAUUGCCAGCAGCCGAACACCAAAAGAACAACUUUCUUUAGCUCUUUCUACUCUAAAUUUCUUAAUUCUGGAUGCACAUGGCCGCUCUGCUGCGGAUCACCAUGCUACUACUACACCUAUAACUAAUACAGAAGUAAAGUGGAAAGAUGUCUUAACUGAUGAAUGGCGUGGCCCAGAUCCCGUGAUUUCGAGAUCUAGGGGAGCGAUUUGUGUUUUUCCGCAGAAUCAAGAAAAUCCAAUUUGGGUACCUGAGCGUUUGACUCAAAGAUUGUCUUCUGCUCUUCCUGAAGAUGAGACUAUGAACCCUACUAUUACUACUGGGAAUGAACAAAGAAAUCUCGAAUUAUCCGAAAGGAAACUGGUCCAUGAAAGCAGAGCAACUAUCAAGACAAUUGCUGAUGCAGAUUGCUGUCCUCAACAGCACUAGGCUGGACCCCAUCACAGUUGAAGACUUUACCUCAUGGAUUACCAAUGCUUUCUCCCUUUUCAAGGAGUGGGCGGGCAUGUUUGUCCCGGGGAGCUAUUGUCCUCCUGGGAUGCAGAGUAGGUCUCUGGCUUAUUGGCCGUUUAAAAAGAGAACAUGCCAGACACAAAGUGGUUGUUUACCAGGCUAUGACCACCAUUAAAAAGGGUACUUCUCCCAACAUAUGGCUGGCCUCUUUGAAAGAUCAAGAGUUCUCCCUAGAUCGUUUUUGUCACAGUCAUGUGGAGUCAUUGUAUCCAGGGACGGGCAACUUUCCUCGAACUCGGACCAACCUAAGACAUGGGGCCCGGUGGCGAUAGGGUGACCCAGCGACGGGUAAGGCCGAGUCAUCGUAAGGAACGACCUAAGACAGGAGCAAUGACAAGAUUGACGCGACACCCAGAUCUAGACCAGUCAUUUUAUUAAACAAAAAAGGGGGAGAUGUAGAGAGCGGCACGGCGAAACAAAGAUGGCACCUUACUGCGCAUGUGCAGGCAGUAACAUCCCCAGAGGAAAGGUUAAGGGCUGUAGUCACAGAGAGAAGGAGAAACAGAGAUGAGAUGCUCAUAUGACCUAACAAAGACGCUCAUGAACACUGGGGAGUUGCACUCUGCCCAUCACUGUACUCGAGGUCCGAAAAGGAUGUGUUCUUAUUAAAGCAAAAGAGAAUAAUAAAAACAAACACAA
Rattus norvegicus (Norway rat) is the source of this 3684-nucleotide non-coding RNA. NCBI's taxonomy places the organism in Eukaryota, Metazoa, Chordata, Mammalia, Rodentia, Muridae. The record is from RefSeq and is a predicted model, not a curated record.